RNAcentral lists this ribosomal RNA (520 nucleotides) under uncultured Glomeromycotina. RNAcentral describes it as "SSU rRNA". It matches the Rfam family "Eukaryotic small subunit ribosomal RNA", at positions 569 to 1090 of the family's 1831-position model. The record is from RNAcentral. Lineage: Eukaryota; Fungi; Glomeromycota.
AGCAGCCGCGGUAAUUCCAGCUCCAAUAGCGUAUAUUAAAGUUGUUGCAGUUAAAAAGCUCGUAGUUGAAUUUCGGGAUUAGUACGCUGGUCAUGCCUUUGGUAUGUACUGGUGUUACUGGUUCCUACCUUCUGAAGAACCGUCAUGUCAUUAAUUUGGUGUGGCGGGGAAUCAGGACUGUUACUUUGAAAAAAUUAGAGUGUUUAAAGCAGGCUCGCGCUUGAAUACAUUAGCAUGGAAUAAUGGAAUAGGACGUUUGAUUCUAUUUUGUUGGUUUCUAGGAUCGACGUAAUGAUUAAUAGGGAUAGUUGGGGGCAUUAGUAUUCAAUUGUCAGAGGUGAAAUUCUUGGAUUUAUUGAAGACUAACUACUGCGAAAGCAUUUGCCAAGGAUGUUUUCAUUAAUCAAGAACGAAAGUUAGGGGAUCGAAGACGAUCAGAUACCGUCGUAGUCUUAACCAUAAACUAUGCCGACUAGGGAUCGGAUGAUGUUAAUUUUUUAAUGACUCAUUCGGCGCCUUA